AAAAAAAAAAAAAAAAAAGCUUAAAUGUACGAAUAUAUAUAAAAAAAAUAUUAAUGUACGAAUAUAUAAAAAAUAUAUAAAUGUGCGAACAUGUAAAACGUACAAAAAGCAUAAAACGCAGAAAAUUUAUAAAAAAUACCUUUUAAUCUUUUAAUUAAUUUUUAAGUUUGAACGAAAUUAUUUUUAAUUUUAAUUUUUUUUUUUAUUUGUCAAAAUAAUAUAAUUAAAUUUAUAAAUAUAACAUGUUCGAUAUUUAGCACACACCUUUAAGUGUUUCAUUAAAAAAUAUAAGCUUAUACAUUGUCAUUAUAAUUGUUCAUAAGUUAAAAAAAAAGUAUAAAACGAAGAAAAAAAAGAAAAAAAAACUUAAUAAACACAAUUUUAUGUGUUUUAUUUUUAUUUUUUUUAUUUUUAUUUAGCAUUGCAUGAACCACUUCAAAUUACCUUACAUUUACCUUUCGUAUUUACAAUUUCCUAUAUAUUCCAUUUUGGUUACUUCUUUACUUUUUUUUUUUGUUAACUAUUUAUUUUUGACGAGAUUAAAAAAAAAAAAAAAAGGUAAUGUUAUAAUGGUAGUUAUUGCAGUGAAUAAGAUGUUUUUGUUGAAGAGUCAAAUAAAUUACCAUGUUACAAGUAAAAUAAAAUACAUGUCUAAAAGAAAAAUUGCAGGUGUCAAAUUUUUAGAUUCAAACAGAAAAGCUGAUGAAUCUAUUCAUUUUAAAAAAGAAGAUGAAAUAUUAUUAAAAAACUUACUGAAAAAAAAUCCUGACAUCAACCCAGAUUAUGACUUAUCCGAAUCAGAACAUGUGAUGGAUAAUUUAUCACAAGACCUAGCCCUCGUGUUUUCAAAGUAUGGAUUAAAGGCCUUAGAUAAUGGCGAUGCCAUAAGAGACGUUAUAAAAGUGUUUGAAUUAAACGGAUAUAAAAAAUCGUUAGAUCAGUGACUAUCUAUAUACAUAUAUAUAUACAUACAAGUACAUUUUUUUGACUAUUUGGAAAGGACAUGUAAGAGUGUAUAUAUAUAUAUAUAUGUAUGUAUGUAUGUAUGUUUACAUACGAAUGAAUUAAACAUAGUUUAAACUAAGCUCAAUAAAAAGAAUAAUUUUUUUUUAAAUUAAAACCGU
RNAcentral lists this long non-coding RNA (1124 nucleotides) under Piliocolobus tephrosceles (Ugandan red Colobus). RNAcentral's name for it is "lncRNA (ENSPTEG00000013901.1)". The record is from RNAcentral. Lineage: Eukaryota; Metazoa; Chordata; Mammalia; Primates; Cercopithecidae.